AAUAGGACAGGAACGACCACCUUCAGACAAAAACAGUGAGGUAAUUUCCCACCCAAAAACCGACAAGGUGUAAACAAGUUGUAAAAAUGCGAGGAAAAAAAGGGACACCAGUUGGUCAGCAGUUUUAUUUUAUGGCCGGUUUCAUCCACAGAAAAGUCGAGUUAGAGUUACGUAAGUCUCAAGGUUUCCGAAUGAUUGACACCAAUAAAAUAAAAAGGGUUGCUUUUUCUUUUUGGUGAGAACUUGUUAUAAAAUUGCGUAACAAACAGAACAAUUGGUGGCAAAUGGGGGUUGUAAAUUUGUUAAUAAAAGUGUGGCCGUGAAGAUGAAGAUUUUUAUGGGGUGUUUUUGAAGAAAGAAUUGAAUGAAUUUUUGGGAUUUUGUGUAGAGUCAGUUGUUGGCUUGGGGUUUGGAGGAGAGGACAGUUUUUUUUUUGGGGGGGGGAAAUUGGGUGAAAAUGAGAGUGAAAUUAGGGAGAAGGAAUUUGAAAAAGUGUGUUUUUAGGUGGAUUAUUGAGGUGCAAGUUUGUAGUGUUUUUUGAGAGUGCAGUGAUUUGUAGAUAAAAUUUUGGCAUUGAUUUCGGUCUAUUGGGAUGAAAAUGAGAAUGAAAUUUGGAAGAAGAAAUUGGAAAAAGUGUGUUUUUGGGUGGAUUAUCAAGGUGUAAAUUUGUGGUGUUUUUUUCGGUACAAUUUUGGCACAGAUUUCGAUCGGUGGUUGAAAAUAAAUUUGUUACGUAAGUAAAAUAAAGUGUGAUUGUUUUGUGUUUUUUGAGAAAAUCUUUGGGGUAGAUUUAGUCCGGCUGGAGAGUUUGGGAGGUUGUUGGGUUUUAAGGGAGCGGAGGGUGAGUUUUUGGAAAAUAAGAGAAAAAUUUGGGGAAUGAAAAAGUGUGUAAAGAAUUGUGUUUUUGGUUAGAUUAAGGUGCAAGUUUGGGAUGUAGAUACAAAUCCAGUUUUUAUGCUGUAGAAAAUGAAGUGGUGUUUUACAAAAUAGUUUUAAAAAUUGGAAUAUUAAGUUGUGAGAGUGGGUAUUAUUUCUUAGGAAAUUUUUGGAGCUCCAAAUUUGUAAUAUUUAAUGAAGUGUGUGUUUUUUGGAAAUAUUUCGAAAUUAGGGGAGCCUUUACGUCGAAAAAUUGUGUCCAACACAUAAAUACUUUACGUAGACGGUAAAAGAUGUUUCUUGAAAUUAGCUGGAAAGUGAAACUGUUUAAAAAAUAGGUAUAAAAACUUGGAAUAAAAAAAUUUUUGGAAAUUUUGAGCUCAAAAUUGUUUUGAGGUCUUGUUUUUUGAAAAUAUUGUGAAAUAAGGGGAACUUUUUGAGUCGAAAACUGCUGCCCAAAAUACAAGUAAAUAAUAAAAGGUAUUUUUGAAACUAUGAGCUGAAAAGUGUCAUUUUUUGAACAUUUGUUUGAAAAAAAAUCGAACAUGAAAUUUUGAAAAUGAGGGUUCAGCUUGGGAACAAAAGCGAAAAAAGAGUGGUUUCUGGAUAUUUUAGGAAAUUUUGAGCUCCAAAUUUGCACUGUUUUUUGAUGAAGUGUGUGAUUUUUGGAAAUAUUUCUAAAUUUGAGGAGCCUUUACGUCGAAAAAUUGUGUCCAAAACAUAAAUACUUCAUAUAGACAAUAAAAGGUAUUUAUUGGAAAUGCUGGGGAGUGAAGUGUUUGUUUAUAAAAUAUGUAUAAAAAAUUGGAAUACAAAUUUUAUGAAAUUUUGAGCUCAAAAUUUAAAUUGUUUUUCGGUCUUGUUUUUUGGAAAUAUUGGGGAACUUUUUGAGUCUAAAAAUCCUUCCCAAAAUACAAGUAAAUAAUAAAAUGUAUUUUUGAAACUAUGAUGUGAAAAGUGUCAUUUUUUGAACAUUUGAUUGAAAAAAAUCGGACAUGAAAUUUUGAAAAUGUGAGUUCAGCCUGGGAACAAAAGCGAAAAAGUGGUUUCUGGAUAGAAUUUAUUUUGAGAGUGGUGUUUUGAAGGAAGGGAGGGUUGUGAGAGAGAAAUGGCUUCUUUUUCUGGCUGUGAGAGGGAUUGAUGGGGUUUGAGACGAUUGGAUUUUCCGGCUGAAAGACUCAACCUCCUGAAAGAAACAAAUGUUGUUAAACUUGUGAAAAUAAUUCCAAACGAAAUCCACACUUAAUUGGAAAUGGGGAAGAAACAAAUCAAAAUUCGAGAGAUUUUUUUUAAACCGGAGGACUUGUUGCUGGGGGAAAGUGGAGAUAUUUUCAUGAGGGGAAAGUUUCCGGUGGUGGUGGUGGAGAGAUGAAGAUUUUGGGGAUGGAGUUGGUCCGGCUGGAGGCAGAUGUCCCACUCUCCCCGCAUCCCAAAUCCAAUCUUCCUCCCUGGAGGAGGAUACAGGAAGGAAUAAAUCGUCUCAAAAAUCCUGGAAAUAUUGAAGGAAAUUUUGUUAGCUUAUUUUUUUAUGCCUGAUUUUUACCGGUGUUGCUUUUGGAAAAUUUUAGAGGUUGAGGCAAUGAUUCACGCAGUAGCAGUAAUUGAAAUAUCUGGAAAUUUUCUUAAAUUAUUAACUAUUUAGUUUCAUGAAUUCGCACAAUGUGUAAGGAGGUUAAGACCAUCUAUAAUAGAACAUCGUGAUAUUUAAUUUUGAAAAAAUUGUAAACGACAUGGAAAUUGCGUAAACUUACAUUGAGACAAUUCACGUCAACCUUCGUAACUCCGUAGCCAGGUAAACUUGCGAAUAUCAGGUUACGAACGAAGAAAAUAACUUUAUCUUCGUAAGGUUUUGUACCUCCGUAGGUAAAAAAUUCCUUAGAGGUGUUGCCAAAUUUCGGCAAAAGUUCGUAAGUUUACGUGAUUACAAAUUGACGAAUAUUGACGUGAAUUGCCUAGUACUUAAUUGUUCUUACUAUCUGUUACUAUUUUCUUGAUAUUAAACUCUACAAAUAUUUUGUAUCGUUGUCAAACUGUAACAUUAAUUUAACAUUUGAAUUUUGAUACUUAAUAAAUUGAUAUCAUUUUAA
This is a long non-coding RNA of Folsomia candida, 2963 nucleotides long. RefSeq lists it as uncharacterized. The transcript has 2 exons. The record is from RefSeq and is a predicted model, not a curated record. Lineage: Eukaryota; Metazoa; Arthropoda; Collembola; Entomobryomorpha; Isotomidae.